RNAcentral lists this microRNA precursor (184 nucleotides) under Nicotiana tabacum (common tobacco). RNAcentral describes it as "miR166a stem-loop (nta-MIR166a)". Its record names the gene nta-MIR166a. It matches the Rfam family "mir-166 microRNA precursor family". From Rfam's summary of the family: This family represents the plant microRNA (miRNA) precursor mir-166. Animal miRNAs are transcribed as ~70nt precursors and subsequently processed by the Dicer enzyme to give a ~22nt product. The record is from miRBase by way of RNAcentral. Lineage: Eukaryota; Viridiplantae; Streptophyta; Magnoliopsida; Solanales; Solanaceae.
UGUUUUGAGGGGAAUGUUGUCUGGCUCGAGGUCACUAACUUGAUCCAAUUAUUUGAACUCUCUUUCCCUUUUUGAGAUGUCAUCUCCAUUAAUUAACAAAUAGAUCAAUAGUUCUUGAUUGGCAUUAGGGAUCAUGGAUCAUGGUUUAGUGUCGUCGGACCAGGCUUCAUUCCCCCCAAAAUUU